This is a long non-coding RNA of Ictalurus punctatus (channel catfish), 1526 nucleotides long. The record is from Ensembl. NCBI's taxonomy places the organism in Eukaryota, Metazoa, Chordata, Actinopteri, Siluriformes, Ictaluridae.
GUUUAUAAUCGUUCUACAGUGAGGAGAAUUAAAUAUUUGUCCAGAUGUAUGUGGACACCUGAACAAUCACACCCAUAUGUGCUUGCUGAAGAUAUAAUUCCAGAUUUAAUCCCCCAUUUCCUGCUCGAAUAAUCUCCUCUCUUCUGGGAAUGCUUUCCAGGAGAUUUUGGAAUGCUCCUGAGGGGAUGUGUGGCCAUUCCUCCGUACACCAGUGCGUCAGUGAAGCCAGGCGCUGAUGUCGGGUCGAGAAGACGUGAUGCGUAGUCGUCAUUCCAAUUCGAUUAAUCCCAAAGUAGACGGAGAACCGAAUUAAACAAACGAGACAAAAUGAUUAUACCUGGUCAUUUAUUUACCGAACACUGAAAAUGAUCCAAUAUGACAAGUAUCCGCGAGUGGCAAAAGUAUGUGAACCUUUGCUUUCAGUAUGUGGCGUGACCCCAUUGUGCACCAGUGACUGCUGAUCGGUCCUGCACAUCGGCUUGGGGUCUCAUCUCGGAUGUAUUACCCAUGAUUCAAAGCAUGGAGGGUUAUGAAGCUUAUGAUUAUGUGGUAUAUAUUGUAGGAUCAAACAGUACAUGGGGUAUCUACCAGCGCUUAAUAAACAGUUUAAUAAGUUCAUAAACUAUUUACAUGUAUCAUAAAAAGUGGUUUGAUCUUGUUUGAGAAAUAAUUUGACGAGUAUUUUGAAAGACAGACGGUUCUCAAUAAUGGACUCUGGAGUACUAGUCUGCCCUGAGGAAUGUACAAUACAAGGGUAUGAGAAGCAUGAACUUCACCAUUCCGAGAGAAUGGCAAGAAUGUCAAGGUAAUUUUAUCUUAAUACCCUGCCACACGCUAUUACCUGCAUGUCCUUCACAAGUGAGACAUGGCCUGGGGUUUUUCGCUAGCUGCAACAGACUGAUUCUGCAUCCAAGCCAUGACACGUAAUCUGUGAGGUCAUUCGAAUAUAUUUCUGUUCAACCAUUGCAGCAGGAAGUCUGAGGGACAGUGAGGGAGACUGCAACGCACACACUAUGAUUUUAUCCCAACACAACUCAUUUGUGUUGCUCCAUACAGGGCACAUUUAUCUAUACACUGUAGUUUGAGAGCGAUUCUAUUACAUUCUUAUUAAUCCUAUAUCAUGCUAGCUUCUCUGUCUGGCUGUACUUCACAGUUAUCAGUGACAGUUGGAGUCACGGUUAAACCGAGCUUGUUGUUUCCCCUCAUGCCAGCCAUUGAAGCACACAGCCUGGACCACGUCACGGGAAGCUGAGGAAGACGGCAAUUGUUCCAAAAAUGAACCCAAACAAAAAAAGACCGAUGACUUCAUUUGGAAGAGGAGAAAGUUGUGUGAGCUACACAUGAUGUGCAUUGGAAAGCUGCUUUCAUAGCUGGGAUGAAUACGACGUGCUUGGACCUCCAGGGUCUACGUAGACGUACUCCAAGGUGAAGAGGACACUUGAAGACGUGUUACAAACUUGACCCUGUUUGGUGAUAAACCAACUAUUUCGGUGGUUAUAUUAUUACACUAGCCUAUAUAUUCCCCG